CGAGGAUCCUAGUAAGCGCAAGUCAUCAGCUUGCGUUGAUUACGUCCCUGCCCUUUGUACACACCGCCCGUCGCUACUACCGAUUGAAUGGCUCAGUGAGGCUUUCGGACUGAUCUAAGGGAGGAGGCAACUCUUCCCCCUGGUCGGAAAGUUAUCCAAACUCGGUCAUUUAGAGGAAGUAAAAGUCGUAACAAGGUCUCCGUUGGUGAACCAGCGGAGGGAUCAUUACUGAGUUUACGCUCUACAACCCUUUGUGAACAUACCUAUAACUGUUGCUUCGGCGGGUAGGGUCUCCGCGACCCUCCCGGCCUCCCGCCCCCGGGCGGGUCGGCGCCCGCCGGAGGAUGACCAAACUCUGAUUUAACGACGUUUCUUCUGAGUGGUACAAGCAAAUAAUCAAAACUUUUAACAACGGAUCUCUUGGUUCUGGCAUCGAUGAAGAACGCAGCGAAAUGCGAUAAGUAAUGUGAAUUGCAGAAUUCAGUGAAUCAUCGAAUCUUUGAACGCACAUUGCGCCCGCCAGCAUUCUGGCGGGCAUGCCUGUUCGAGCGUCAUUUCAACCCUCAAGCUCUGCUUGGUGUAAGGGCCCUACAGCCGAUGUAGGCCCUCAAAGGUAGUGGCGGACCCUCCCGGAGCCUCCUUUGCGUAGUAACUUUACGUCUCGCACUGGGAUCCGGAGGGACUCUUGCCGUAAAACCCCCCAAUUUACCAAAGGUUGACCUCGGAUCAGGUAGGAAUACGCGCUGAACUUAAGCAUAUCAUAA
RNAcentral lists this ribosomal RNA (764 nucleotides) under uncultured Glomerellales. Its description in RNAcentral is "eukaryotic LSU rRNA". The stretch from base 1 to 228 matches the Rfam family "Eukaryotic small subunit ribosomal RNA", at positions 1604 to 1831 of the family's 1831-position model. Lineage: Eukaryota; Fungi; Ascomycota; Sordariomycetes; Glomerellales. The record is from RNAcentral.